RNAcentral lists this ribosomal RNA (261 nucleotides) under uncultured archaeon. RNAcentral's name for it is "partial 16S ribosomal RNA". It matches the Rfam family "Archaeal small subunit ribosomal RNA", at positions 748 to 1009 of the family's 1478-position model. The record is from RNAcentral.
CAGCCCUAAACGAUGCGCGUUAGGUGUAUCGGUGACCACGAGUCACCGAGGUGCCGAAGGGAAACCGUGAAACGUGCCGCCUGGGAAGUACGGUCGCAAGGCUGAAACUUAAAGGAAUUGGCGGGGGAGCGCCACAACGGGUGGAGCCUGCGGUUUAAUUGGACUCAACGCCGGGAAGCUCACCGGAUAAGACAGCGGAAUGAUUGCCGGGCUGAAGACCCUGCAUGACCAGCUGAGAGGAGGUGCAUGGCGUAGUCGUGU